UCAGCUCAGCUGCCAAGGCUCUGGUGGACCGCCUGACCGCUGCGAGUAAUCGCAUCACAUCAGCACGAUAUCGUCGACAUCUUGCUCUCCCCACCUGAGGAGGUGUGUAUAUAGACGACUGACACCUUGCGUAGCCCACAGCCCAGCUGUGCCAUUUACACAUAGAAAAGCCGACGCAAAUCUGCGCAUACGCGCUGCCCUUUCCGAAAGACGCGCACGCGCCGCUCGUCAAACACUUCAUCGCUUCUCGGUUAGCUUCACCGCACCCUUUCGAACCUGUGCGCACCAAUGAUCCGCAGCUACUUUGAUCUAGACGACAUUGGAGCCUGCGAGGAGCCUGUCGCAGUCACAUUCACCGUCCCGUCGUUCAGCAUGGGCAAGGAUCUCACCGUUCGCACCCACGAAGGCGAAACAGUGUCUGAGGUGGUGGCGGGCUGUGUGGCAACCGUCCCUUUGUGGGCUGCGACAGCCCUUCGCACUGAAGGGUACGUCAGUGUUCAUGCACCUCACACGUUCUCCCUCGCCACGUUUCGCGAGUUUAAGACGGACCCACUUGCCCCCAGCCUUCAUCGCAAGUCACCGUACUUCUACCAAGCCGGGCUGCAGCUCUGCCGGCUUCUGAGCAACCCCACGUCGAGCGGCCACAUGAGCGCCGAAGGCAACCGACUUGCCGCGCAGCUGUUCCGUCUCUACCAGCUUCGCUACCUGCGCAUCAUCUUCGCUGCUGCCAAGAAGGGGUUUGACCUGAACGACGUCCGCGACAAGCUGGAGGAGUCGGAGCGGCAUCUGCUCGACUCAUACCUUCGCGGACAGGCCGAAGAAGCGCUGUGGUAUGCGAACUUUACCUAGCACUUCGCGUCUGUGAGGAAAAGCAUUAACCCUGCUCUGGCAUGCCAACAUCUGGUGGUGGACACUCUGAUCAGCCACGUGAUUGAUCCAGCAUCGCAUCCUGAAAGACGCACGCCUUGCGGUCUCAUCUG
Molecule: unclassified non-coding RNA, 980 nt
Filed under: Leishmania donovani
Lineage: Eukaryota; Euglenozoa; Kinetoplastea; Trypanosomatida; Trypanosomatidae
Description: gene:LdHU3.31.2930(CDS-product:GINS_complex_subun it_Psf3_putative)
Source: RNAcentral